GGAGACCUGUAUGAACGGCAAAACCUUUUCAAACUGUCUCCCUCCCUAACCUUUUAAACUCCUUUUUACGCGAAGAAGCGUGAAUACAUCAGAAAGACGAGAAGACCCUGUCGAGCUUCAGCCAAUAAGUGAGCCAACAAAACCUAUGUGUUAACAUCACCCAAAGGCUUUGGUUGGGGUAACCAUGGAGAACACUAAUCCUCCAGAACAAGCAGACGAACUCUCUUCCCUACUAAACGAGCUAAAGAACCAGGAACUGGUAAUCGGAAAAAGUUACCGCAGGGAUAACAGCGUCAUCCCCUUUAAGAGUCCUUAUUGACAAGGGGGUUUGCGACCUCGAUGUUGGAUUGGGGCCCCCUUAGGGUGCAGAAGCUCUAAACGGUUAGACUGUUCGUCUAUUAAAGCCCUACGUGAUCUGAGU
This 421-nucleotide ribosomal RNA is filed under the name Holothuria leucospilota. RNAcentral's name for it is "partial 16S ribosomal RNA". It matches the Rfam family "Bacterial large subunit ribosomal RNA", at positions 1982 to 2610 of the family's 2925-position model. The record is from RNAcentral. Lineage: Eukaryota; Metazoa; Echinodermata; Holothuroidea; Aspidochirotida; Holothuriidae.